Molecule: small nucleolar RNA, 81 nt
Organism: Neltuma alba
Lineage: Eukaryota; Viridiplantae; Streptophyta; Magnoliopsida; Fabales; Fabaceae
Product: small nucleolar RNA R12
Exons: 1
Source: RefSeq, a predicted model, not a curated record
UGUUGAAUGAUGAAAAAAAUCAGACGGAUUCCCACUGAUAUUGUUAAUAUAUGAUAUCACAACCAGCUACUUCUGACAACA